GUCGAGAAUCUUUCACAAUGGGGGCAACCCUGAUGGAGCGACGCCGCGUGGAGGAUAAGGUCUUCGGAUUGUAAACUCCUGUCAUGCGUGAACAAGGUUGCUUGGUUAAUACCUGGGCAAAUUGAUGGUAACGCAAGAGGAAGAGACGGCUAACUCUGUGCCAGCAGCCGCGGUAAUACAGAGGUCUCAAGCGUUGUUCGGAAUCACUGGGCGUAAAGGGUGCGUAGGUGGCGUGGUAAGUCAGAUGUGAAAGCCCGGGGCUCAACCUCGGAACUGCAUACGAUACUGCCAUGCUAGAGUACUGGAGAGGUGACUAGAAUUCUCGGUGUAGCAGUGAAAUGCGUAGAUAUCGAGAGGAAUACCAAAGGCGUAGGCAGGUCACUGGACAGUUACUGACACUGAGGCACGAAGGCCAGGGGAGCGAACGGGAUUAGAAACCCCGGUAGUCC
RNAcentral lists this ribosomal RNA (449 nucleotides) under uncultured bacterium. RNAcentral's name for it is "partial 16S ribosomal RNA". It matches the Rfam family "Bacterial small subunit ribosomal RNA", at positions 354 to 796 of the family's 1533-position model. The record is from RNAcentral.